This 253-nucleotide ribosomal RNA is filed under the name uncultured bacterium. RNAcentral's name for it is "partial 16S ribosomal RNA". It matches the Rfam family "Bacterial small subunit ribosomal RNA", at positions 524 to 776 of the family's 1533-position model. The record is from RNAcentral.
AACGUAGGAGACAAACGUUAUCCGGAGUUACUGGGCGUAAAGGGCGUGUAGGUGGUUUCGUAAGUCUGGCGUGAAAUUUCUCGGCUUAACCGAGGCAGGUCGUCGGAUACUGCGGAACUUGAGGACGGUAGAGGCGUGUGGAAUUCCGGGUGUAGUGGUGAAAUGCGUAGAGAUCCGGAAGAACAUCGGUGGCGAAGGCGCUCUGCUGGACCAUAACUGACACUCAGGGACGAAAGCUAGGGGAGCGAAUGGG